AAAGAAAUAAAAAAAGAAAAGCUUCUAACUUUUUAAAAGAGCAAAAAA
Molecule: transfer RNA, 48 nt
Filed under: Duliticola sp. UPOL 000588
Lineage: Eukaryota; Metazoa; Arthropoda; Insecta; Coleoptera; Lycidae
Description: partial tRNA-Ser
Source: RNAcentral